GAGUAGCUGGGACUACAGGCGUCUGCCACCAUGCAGCUAAUUUUUUGUAUUUUUUUUUUUAGUAGAGAUGGGGUUUCACCGUGUUAGCCAGGAUGGUCACGAUCUCCUGACCUCGUGAUCCGCCUGCCUCGGCCUCCCAAAGUGCUGGGAUUACCGGCAUGAGCCACCAUUUCCGGCAACAGGCAGACUUUUAACACAUUCCUUACCUAAACUUUUAAAAGGGACAAAAGAUAUAUGCCUUUGGUUUGGGAGAUGACGAAACAUAUGCUUUAAUGACUAUUGGGUUGGAAUCUUCUUGAGAGAGGAUCCUUCUUAGCCUAGACUAGAGUCUUCAAAAGCCCACAGUGCUUCGUAAAGUUUCAUACGUGGAAGAGAGAAGGAUGUUCCACUGGAAAAGCAGAAUUGCAGCUGAGCUGUCCUGAAAUGCCCAGCACUCUGUGGAGACGCGGAGGAGGUUUCCUGGGACAAAGUGCUGAACCAGGAGAGAUCUCAUCCGCUGUCCACUGGGGAAUGGCCUUGCCCUAUGGCCCCUACCAAACAAAAACGUAGCAGAACACAGCAAAACAGCAGAGUCGGAAUGUGAAGUGCUGAUAGAGUUCCCUAACGCUGACUGUCUGCUCUGCAUUUCUGGAGAUUGUAUGCCUGUCAUCCUGCAUUCCUUGCUACAGCCACAAGCUGUCUCCACCAUCAGAUGUGGCUUACCUGGUUCCUGAGUCAAUUCCAUCCAGAUGGUGAAGCCAAGGCCUGAAGACCUUUCCUGCAAGGUCGCAGAGGAAGAGGCAGAAGAAGGACCAGAACCCAGCUCCCCUGACUCCCUAUCCAGUGCUCUUCUCAUAGAUUACAUUGCUUCAGCAUCCACCUGGCUAUUGCUCCAUCCAGGGGUUACAGGAGUCACUGACUGUUUUGGUUGCUUCUUGGUUGGAGGAUGUUGUGCCUCACCGAUGAGAGCCGGAAGCAAAGGUACCAGUUCUUAGAGGAAGCAUAGGAAUGUGUCCCUUCCUGCUCGGGUCUCUCAACUGAACUCAACCCUUCCUUGAUUGAUUGACAAGCAUGUUAUCUCUCAUAAUCCCUGCCCGGUAAGGGCUGAUGUCCCCAUUUUACAGAUGAGGAUAUUGGAGCUCAGAGAAGUGAAAUGAUUGCUGAAGGUCACACAGCCUGGCUUCAAGCCUCUCGGGCUCCAAAAGGCAUCUUCUGUUCUCUCCGUCAGGAAGCCUCUUUUGGAUGAUUAACUGAGAUUAAAAAUGAAAAGACACAUGAAAGAAA
Molecule: long non-coding RNA, 1263 nt
Filed under: Homo sapiens (human)
Lineage: Eukaryota; Metazoa; Chordata; Mammalia; Primates; Hominidae
Description: novel transcript
Source: RNAcentral